GAUCCUGGCUCAGGAUGAACGCUGGCGGCGUGCUUAACACAUGCAAGUCGAGCGAAGCACUUAAGUUCGAUUCUUCGGAUGAAGACUUUUGUGACUGAGCGGCGGACGGGUGAGUAACGCGUGGGUAACCUGCCUCAUACAGGGGGGAUAACAGUUAGAAAUGGCUGCUAAUACCGCAUAAGACCACAGUACUGCAUGGUACAGUGGUAAAAACUCCGGUGGUAUGAGAUGGACCCGCGU
This 240-nucleotide ribosomal RNA is filed under the name uncultured bacterium. RNAcentral's name for it is "partial 16S ribosomal RNA". It matches the Rfam family "Bacterial small subunit ribosomal RNA", at positions 15 to 236 of the family's 1533-position model. The record is from RNAcentral.